GAUGAACGCUAGCUACAGGCUUAACACAUGCAAGUCGAGGGGCAGCAUGGUCUUAGCUUGCUAAGGCCGAUGGCGACCGGCGCACGGGUGAGUAACACGUAUCCAACCUGCCGUCUACUCUUGGACAGCCUUCUGAAAGGAAGAUUAAUACAAGAUGGCAUCAUGAGUCCACAUGUUCACAUGAUUAAAGGUAUUCCGGUAGACGAUGGGGAUGCGUUCCAUUAGAUAGUAGGCGGGGUAACGGCCCACCUAGUCUUCGAUGGAUAGGGGUUCCGAGAGGAAGGUACCCCACAUUGGAACUGAGACACGGUCCAAACUCCUACGGGAGGCAGCAAUGAGGAAUAUUGGUCCAUGGGCGAGAGCCUGAACCAGCCAAGUAGCGUAAAGGAUGGCUGCCCUAUGGGUUGUAAACUUCUUUUAUAAAGGAAUAAAGUCGGGUAUGCAUACCCGUUUGCAUGUACUUUAUGAAUAAGGAUCGGCUAACUCCGUGCCAGCCGCCGCCGUAA
This 506-nucleotide ribosomal RNA is filed under the name uncultured bacterium. RNAcentral's name for it is "partial 16S ribosomal RNA". It matches the Rfam family "Bacterial small subunit ribosomal RNA", at positions 28 to 523 of the family's 1533-position model. The record is from RNAcentral.